RNAcentral lists this ribosomal RNA (659 nucleotides) under uncultured bacterium. Its description in RNAcentral is "bacterial SSU rRNA". It matches the Rfam family "Bacterial small subunit ribosomal RNA", at positions 94 to 788 of the family's 1533-position model. The record is from RNAcentral.
AGUGGCGGACGGGUGAGUAACGCGUGAGAAUCUGCCUUGGGGUCGGGGACAACCACUGGAAACGGUGGCUAAUACCGGAUAAGCCGAUUGGUGAAAGAUUUAUUGCCCGAAGAGGAGCUCGCGUCUGAUUAGCUAGUUGGUGAGGUAAGAGCUCACCAAGGCAGCGAUCAGUAGCUGGUCUGAGAGGACGAUCAGCCACACUGGGACUGAGACACGGCCCAGACUCCUACGGGAGGCAGCAGUGGGGAAUUUUCCGCAAUGGGCGAAAGCCUGACGGAGCAAGACCGCGUGAGGGAGGAAGGCUCUUGGGUUGUAAACCUCUUUUCUCAGGGAAGAAGCUCUGACGGUACCUGAGGAAUCAGCCUCGGCUAACUCCGUGCCAGCAGCCGCGGUAAUACGGAGGAGGCAAGCGUUAUCCGGAAUUAUUGGGCGUAAAGCGUCCGCAGGUGGCGAUUCAAGUCUGCUGUCAAAGCACGGGGCUUAACUCCGUAAAGGCAGUGGAAACUGAAUAGCUAGAGUGCCGUAGGGGUAGAGGGAAUUCCCGGUGUAGCGGUGAAAUGCGUAGAGAUCGGGAAGAACAUCGUGGCGAAAGCGCUCUACUGGACGGCAACUGACACUCAGGGACGAAAGCUAGGGGAGCGAAUGGGAUUAGAUACCCC